Molecule: ribosomal RNA, 419 nt
Filed under: bacterium
Lineage: Bacteria
Description: partial 16S ribosomal RNA
Rfam family: Bacterial small subunit ribosomal RNA
Source: RNAcentral
UGGGGGAUAUUGCACAAUGGGCGCAAGCCUGAUGCAGCGACGCCGCGUGGGGGAUGAAGGCCUUCGGGUUGUAAACUUCUUUUGCUCUGAACAAGGCGCACUUUGGGGUGUGUUGAGUGUAGGGGUUGAUUAGCGCCGGCUAACUACGUGCCAGCAGCCGCGGUAAUACGUAGGGCGCGAGCGUUGUCCGGAAUUAUUGGGCGUAAAGGGCUUGUAGGUGGCUGGUUGCGUCUGUCGUGAAAGCUCAUGGCUUAACUGUGGGUUUGCGGUGGGUACGGGCUGGCUUGAGGGCAGUAGGGGAGGCUGGAAUUCCUGGUGUAGCGGUGGAAUGCGCAGAUAUCAGGAGGAAUACCGGUGGCGAAGGCGGGUCUCUGGGCUGUUACUGACACUGAGGAGCGAAAGCAUGGGGAGCGAACAGG